GAGACACAGAAAAACAAAGACAGAGUGAGGGAGAGUACAGAACAAGUGCAGCUACAGUAAAGUCCCAAGGACAUUUGGAUAAUGACGGUAACAACAAACAAUGAGGGAUGGGAGAACUCCAUCUGGACAGGUCCCAGCAGGAUUUCAGAGUUUGCAAAAUGUACCUGAAUGCACCAUGAAGUCCCUGUUCCUGUGUGGGUGUCAAACUCAGGACACAGACAGACAGCACAGGACAGAUUCAGUGUGACUAGCACACUCCGGCACUUACAUCAAGGACGUCCUCCGUCUGAUCUGAAGUCAGAAUGUUGACUGUGACCUUCUGACCGUUGGAGAGGCAGAUGUCUAGAGAGACUUCUUCUGUGGGAAUCUGCUGCGUCUCCUGUGGGAA
Molecule: long non-coding RNA, 388 nt
Organism: Epinephelus moara (kelp grouper)
Lineage: Eukaryota; Metazoa; Chordata; Actinopteri; Perciformes; Serranidae
Exons: 3
Source: RefSeq, a predicted model, not a curated record